Molecule: ribosomal RNA, 430 nt
Filed under: bacterium
Lineage: Bacteria
Description: partial 16S ribosomal RNA
Rfam family: Bacterial small subunit ribosomal RNA
Source: RNAcentral
UGGGGAAUAUUGGACAAUGGGCGCAAGCCUGAUCCAGCCAUGCCGCGUGUGUGAAGAAGGCCUUUCGGUUGUAAAGCACUUUAAGCGAGGAGGAGGCUACUUGGAUUAAUACUCUAGGAUAGUGGACGUUACUCGCAGAAUAAGCACCGGCUAACUCUGUGCCAGCAGCCGCGGUAAUACAGAGGGUGCGAGCGUUAAUCGGAUUUACUGGGCGUAAAGCGUGCUGAGGCGGCUUCUUAAGUCGGAUGUGAAAUCCCUGAGCUUUACUUAGGAAUUGCAUUCGAUACUGGGGAGCUAGAGUAUGGGAGAGGAUGGUAGAAUUCCAGGUGUAGCGGUGAAAUGCGUAGAGAUCUGGAGGAAUACCGAUGGCGAAGGCAGCCAUCUGGCCUAAUACUGACGCUGAGGUACGAAAUCAUGGGGAGCAAACAGG